Molecule: ribosomal RNA, 492 nt
Filed under: uncultured bacterium
Lineage: Bacteria
Description: partial 16S ribosomal RNA
Rfam family: Bacterial small subunit ribosomal RNA
Source: RNAcentral
AGUGAACGCUGGCGGUAGGCCUAACACAUGCAAGUCGAACGGCAGCACAGUAAGCGCUUGCUCUUACGGGUGGCGAGUGGCGGACGGGUGAGGCAUACAUCGGAAUCUUCUUUUUCGUGGGGGAUAACGUAGGGAAACUUCCGCUAAUACCGCAUAUGACCUACGGGUGAAAGCAGGGGAUCUUCGGACCUUGCGCGAUUGAAUGAGCCGAUGUCGGAUUAGCUAGUUGGCGGGGUAAAGGCCCACCAAGGCGACGAUCCGUAGCUGGACUGAGAGGAUGGUCAGCCACACUGGAACUGAGGCACGGUCCAGACUCCUACGGGAGGCAGCAGUGGGGAAUAUUGGACAAUGGGCGCAAGCCUGAUCCAGCCAUACCGCGUGGGUGAAGAAGGCCUUCGGGUUGUAAAGCCCUUUUGUUGGGAAAGAAAAGCAGCAGGUUAAUACCCCGCUGUUCUGACGGUACCCAAAGAAUAAGCACCGGCUAACUUCGUG